UCUGAAGCAACAAAACAAGGGUGAGUACAAAAGUACUCAACAAGUCCAACCCCAACCAUGGAGGGGGAAAACAAUCAAGAAUAUGCACAGGAUAUAACAAGGAUAUGGAUAAGGUUUAUUUGCAUUAAAGCUAGAUUUUCAACACAUGCAAGGGUUCAUUUUCAAAGAGUUUUUACAAACAUUUCUUUUUGCAUCCGAAUCAUUAAGUGGGGUUGAUCCUACACAAAGGAUCCAAGUUUUAAUGCUACCGGACUCCCCGUCCGCAGUAGCUCACGGCACAACUGUCGGACACUUCCGAAAUUUAACACACGCCAUGAAAAUCAUCCAACUUCAAGUACUAGUUAUAUGACCAAGCCGUAACUCGUCCAAUGCCAUGGACACGGUUACCCGGAUAGGUUUUAACUCUGCAGAGGUUGUACACUUUUCCCACAAGUAGGGUACCGCAACACGGUCACCUUAGUGUCGGUGCAAAUCCUAUCAAAGCCAUUAUCCACCUUAGCUGAGACUGACUAGUCAACACGGAAGCAACCAAGGGGUUAACGACCCACCAACGAGGUCUUAACAGGGACCUAAGUCACAAAGACCUUACUCCUUCUCCAUGGUCUCCCAUUGCUCACCAGCCUACUUGAUGACUAACAAGCUAGCUAGUGGGAUUUAUGCUAAGCUGUUGCCGUAUACAACGGUCGAGUAGUUGCACGAUGGUUGGGUUAGGUAAGAUGACACAUCAACUCGGUCCUUAACCAUGACAAGAUGGAUAUCCC
This 761-nucleotide long non-coding RNA is filed under the name Setaria italica (foxtail millet). RNAcentral describes it as "long non-coding RNA (SITA_LNC002784)". The record is from RNAcentral. Lineage: Eukaryota; Viridiplantae; Streptophyta; Magnoliopsida; Poales; Poaceae.